RNAcentral lists this ribosomal RNA (460 nucleotides) under uncultured bacterium. RNAcentral describes it as "partial 16S ribosomal RNA". It matches the Rfam family "Bacterial small subunit ribosomal RNA", at positions 338 to 795 of the family's 1533-position model. The record is from RNAcentral.
CCUACGGGAGGCAGCAGUGAGGAAUAUUGGUCAAUGGACGAGAGUCUGAACCAGCCAAGUAGCGUGAAGGAUGACUGCCCUAUGGGUUGUAAACUUCUUUUAUAUGGGAAUAAAAUGUUCCACGUGUGGGAUUUUGUAUGUACCAUAUGAAUAAGGAUCGGCUAACUCCGUGCCAGCAGCCGCGGUAAUACGGAGGAUCCGAGCGUUAUCCGGAUUUAUUGGGUUUAAAGGGAGCGUAGGUGGAUUGUUAAGUCAGUUGUGAAAUUGUGCGGCUCAACCGUAAAAUUGCAGUUGAAACUGGCAGUCUUGAGUACAGUAGAGGUGGGCGGAAUUCGUGGUGUAGCGGUGAAAUGCUUAGAUAUCACGAAGAACUCCGAUUGCGAAGGCAGCUCACUGGACUGCAACUGACACUGAGGCUCGAAAGUGUGGGUAUCAAACAGGAUUAGAUACCCCUGUAGUC